CAUCAGGGGUCUCACAAUUUCUGAAAUGUCAUGAAUAUUUUUGAUAGCAUCAUUAUGCGGCUCGACCACUUAAACCCAGAGAAGCUGUAGAGUAGAAGGGAGGCUGGCUGGCUGCACAAGCAGCUGGAAAGCAUGCAAUUUUUGUCAAAGCAUUUGUAGUAAUUCAUUCAUCAUUUUUUUUUCAACACAAAAUUCUUUUGAGUGUUAUUUUUCUGUCCUUUUUCUUUUUUUAAAUAUCAGACGUAAUUACUUUGUUGAACAAUCACUACUGUCGAGGAUGAACCGAACUGACAGACGAUGAAAUGAUAGUUACACAAUGUUCUCUCUCGGUUUGGACUCGGGAUCUUUAUAUAUUGGAAGUUGAAGGGGG
Molecule: unclassified non-coding RNA, 370 nt
Filed under: Hevea brasiliensis (rubber tree)
Lineage: Eukaryota; Viridiplantae; Streptophyta; Magnoliopsida; Malpighiales; Euphorbiaceae
Source: RNAcentral